UCCGGUAGGGGAUCCUGCGGAGGGAUCAUUACACAACAAAAAUAUGAGGGUGUGGUUUGCUGGCAACAGCGUCCGCCCCAAGUAUUUUUCACCCAUGUCUUUUGCGCACUUUUUGUUUCCUGGGCGAGUUCGCUCGCCACCAGGACCCAACCAUAAACCUUUUUUUAUGCAGUUGCAAUCAGCGUCAGUAUAAUAAUUCAAUUUAUUAAAACUUUCAACAACGGAUCUCUUGGUUCUGGCAUCGAUGAAGAACGCAGCGAAAUGCGAUACGUAGUGUGAAUUGCAGAAUUCAGUGAAUCAUCGAAUCUUUGAACGCACAUUGCGCCCUUUGGUAUUCCAAAGGGCAUGCCUGUUCGAGCGUCAUUUGUACCCUCAAGCUUUGCUUGGUGUUGGGCGUCUUUUUGUCUCUCCCCUUGUUGGGGGAGACUCGCCUUAAAACGAUUGGCAGCCGACCUACUGGUUUUCGGAGCGCAGCACAAAUUUGCGCCUUCCAAUCCACGGGGCGGCAUCCAGCAAGCCUUUGUUUUCUAUAACAAAUCCACAUUUUGACCUCGGAUCAGGUAGGGAUACCCGCUGAACUUAAGCAUAUCAAACG
RNAcentral lists this ribosomal RNA (595 nucleotides) under Exserohilum rostratum. RNAcentral describes it as "eukaryotic LSU rRNA". The stretch from base 210 to 363 matches the Rfam family "5.8S ribosomal RNA". The record is from RNAcentral. Lineage: Eukaryota; Fungi; Ascomycota; Dothideomycetes; Pleosporales; Pleosporaceae.